UUCAGCUUUACCAUACCACAUGGAAGCUAACUUGUUAUGGCAACUGGGGGAAGUCAAACACAAAUACAAUCUAACGAGAAAAAAUGUGAAGUAUGCAGAAAUGUAGAGCGCGCGUAUGUCUCUCGAAACAACGCACCGAAUGUAUUCAUAGUACACGCACAGAGAGAGGUCAUCACUGGCCGAGGGAAGAAUAAAGACGUGAAAAAGAA
Long non-coding RNA from Haliotis rubra (blacklip abalone), 209 nucleotides. RefSeq lists it as uncharacterized. The transcript has 2 exons. NCBI's taxonomy places the organism in Eukaryota, Metazoa, Mollusca, Gastropoda, Lepetellida, Haliotidae. The record is from RefSeq and is a predicted model, not a curated record.